Molecule: long non-coding RNA, 27624 nt
Filed under: Theobroma cacao (cacao)
Lineage: Eukaryota; Viridiplantae; Streptophyta; Magnoliopsida; Malvales; Malvaceae
Description: long non-coding RNA (TCAC_LNC002709)
Source: RNAcentral
UAUUUUUCACAAUUGCAUUUUUUUUCAUAAGAAAUACUAAUCAUCUGUUACUUUUAGGCAUAUCAAAUGUUAUAUGGUAUGAUAGAUUUUCUUAAUCAUGAAAUGUGAUCAAUACUUGCAUAAAAAAGUUUAGUAGUUUACAGAAAUGACAAGAAUUUUUUAUAUCUGACGGCUAAAUAUUUUUAAUGCUCAAGUUGUACCGAAACAUCUCCUCUUUGUUAGCCUAAUCCGUAUGAAGAAGCCCCGAUUUAUAAGUGCUUCAAUGCUAGUAAUCUUUUUCUUUCUAAGUUGGUGGGACUUACAUGUGAAUUGGGUUUAUUUACAUGUUGGUGUGUACUGUCUAAGUGUAUAUUCUCCAACUGUGCACUUGGGUAAGGGUAGACUAGUUAAGAAUCCAAAUUUGAGUAUGUUCAUAACCUGUUCCCCUUCUCUUUCAAGAAAACUUAAUUUCAAAAUGUAAAAACAUGUUGGGUAGUAAAUCUUCAUUAGCUUCUUCUUAAUAACAGAGGGCUGACAGCUAACUUUACCUUUAUGUCCUAGCUAGUUUGCCUUUAAUAAGCACCUUUCCCUUAAGUUAUGCAAGUGUGUCUUGUGAUCCAUUGAUUAAAUGUUUUGAAUCGACAAACUUGUAUGACUUACAGAAAUUGAUGGUCUGUGGCUGAUUGUCUUUAUCUUUUAUGACACAAUCAUUUGAAAUGAAUAUCGAAUUGUGACAGUCACAACCAAGGUUCCAACCUGAAAAUCUGGAGCAUAACAAACGCCUGUAUGAGCAAGUUAAUGAGAUAGCAGCGAAGAAGGGGUGCACCCCAUCACAGCUUGCAUUGGCUUGGGUCCAUCACCAAGGGAAUGAUGUCUGUCCCAUUCCCGGAACCACGAAAAUCGAAAACUUCAAUCAGAACAUUGGAGCUUUGUCCGUAAAAUUAACAGCUGAAGAGAUGGCUGAGCUAGAAUCCAUUGCUUCAGCAGAUGCCGUGAAGGGAGAUAGAUAUGGUGAAGGUAUCUCUACUUACAAUGACUCUGAGACUCCUCCCUUGUCUUCAUGGAAACCUGAAUGAGGCUUAUACUACCAUAUUGAUACAAUCUUCAUGUGAGGUAACACCUUGUAUUGUGUUUUAAAAUCAUAAGUCUCUCCACUUUGUAUUAUGAGAGUAAGUGUUCUGUCACAAGUACAACGGGUUUUGUGGUAAUAGAUUGUAGCUGUCGAAGUGUGUCAUGUUAAGAUUGUCUGUUCCUAAGUAAUUAAGCAAAAUACAAUUUUUAUGAUGAGGCAACACCUUGGAUUGUGUUUUAAAAUCACGAGUCUCUCUACUAUGUAUUCCGAGAAUAAAUAUUCUGUCAGAAGUACAACGGGUCUUGUGGUGAUAGAUUGUAGCUAUCUAAGUGUGUCAUGUUCAGAUUGUCUGUUCCAAGGUAAUUAAGCAAAAGUUUGUCAGAAAAUAAGGUGUUAUAUCAGAACUAUCCUUGGUCUUCUGAUGAUGGCUGGCAACUUGAUUGUGCGUUUCUAGGACAGAGCAUCUGUCGGUUACAACCGAGCAACCGAUCAGAACUGAUUACAAUAGCAACCGCCGGCUCAGUUAUUCGAUGGUGGUUGCUGGUGUCGGUUGUGACUGACGGUCUUGGGACCAUCGCGGUUCAGCACUGAGGGCACUCUCCCCAACCGAACCGAACCGAUAAAAAAACCGAGGAAACCUUCUUGCCACUCAACAACCUAACGUUCAACCCCUGAUUCGAGCUUGCCCCGAAAAACAAGAUCAAAGGCCGACCAAACUUAAGUGCCUCGAUAAUUGAACUCCAACCAUAGUGAGUUAAGAACCCCCAACAGAGGAGUGAGCCAAUAUCCGUAGUUGAGGUGCCCAAUCCUUCAACAUCAAGCCCUUAUCAGAAACUCGCUCCUCAAACCCUAGAGGGAUUAAUUUAUAGUGUAUUUCUUGAAUUUAGAUUAAUUACAUUACAUAAAUUACUAAAUUAUAUUAGGUAUAAUUUAUGAAAAUUUUUUAUUUUAUUUAAUAUUUUUGUUAAUCAAUUUAAUAUAUAAUGUUUAUUAUUUUUAAAAAAAAUAAAUUAUUGAUUUUACAUUCUUAUAAAUAAUAAUGCGAUGUUUAUUAUUUUUAUUAAAAAAUUAUAUAGUGUUUACUUAUAUGGUUAAAAAUAAAUUUCAUGGGUUAGACUAAUUAUUUAAACAUGGUUACAUGGGUUUGAUUUUAAUUAAAAAUAUAGAUUUCACACACUUUUAAAUCUAAGCCCAACACAAAAUUUUCAACUUUUACUAACUUUGGACUAUUUAAGUCUAGGUCUACUUAAAAUUUCAACCAAUUGAAAUUGAGGUUGACUUCAAUUGAUCGGUUUUUCAUUGUAAUAGAUCAGUUUCGGUCUAUUGAAAUUUUUCAUCAAUUUCAUCGAUUUUGAUUUUUCCUGAAAUCGACUAAUACACUUCCGUAUAUGUUUUUGACUCGAUCAUGUUAAGAAAAACAAAGUGUUUCUGUUUUUCUCAAACAUUUUGAUCUCAAACAUGCUUCCUUCUCUUUGAUAAUACGAGGAAUCUCUCCCCCAACAAAUUAAUAUUUGGUUUCACUGGACAGAGACUUAUAGAAAAUAUGAGCAUAGAAAAGGAUAAAACGAAGACGGCCAGGUAAUUACUCGCUGUGCAUUCCAAAAUGAUCAAAUAAUUAGUUGCCUCCUUGGUCACUAAACAUUAUUAUUUAUUUAUUUAUGUAUCCAUGGGACCAAUCUAGAUCCUGUUGUCCCCACACCCUAAGCAAUAGGUUUUCAAUUAAUUAAUCCUAAUUUUCCUUAGAUUUUAGACCUUGGACGAGGAACUUAAGACUUUGGAACCACCGAUGGAUUUUGCUGGGAAAUGGCCAAACAAAAACGAAAUUGCCAAGAUAAAAGGAAUCCCAUUACUACCUUAAUUAUUUGUUUUCUGCUUACCAUGGACUCUCACAAACCACUAAUUAACUUUUAAGUAAACAUGUGUUUAGUUAAUUGUUUUCAAACUUAUUUGGAAAAUCUAAUAUAUUCGAUCUAAAGCUACCAAAGUACGCAACUAAAAGUAAAGUUGCAAAAAGUUAAAACAUUGUAAUUAUUAUUAUUAUUAUUAUGUGUGAAAUGAUGAAGCGACAUGCAUGAUGAACAGCUCUCUCUUUUAAAGUUUUUAUUAUACUUCCCACUAAUUAAAAGGUGGAUGAUAAAUAGAUCAUGCACUUGCUCACCGCAAUGAAGAAUAUCAUAAUUUGGCCAAAUAUUACUACCAACUAGCUAUUAAACCACCAAGCUGAUCAACCCCUUCUUAAGGGAAUGUAUGCAUUGGAUUAAUUCAUUACUCUUUGCAUAAGCUUUUAGGCUUCUAAAUUGACAUUAAUAUAGUCACUCUGAUUAUUGUUUUGCAUAAUCCAGAGUAUAGGAUUAAGAUAAAAUUAAAAAAAAAUUGAGCCAACUAUAUAUUCUUUAGUGUAGCGGCUGCGCCUUAAGAUAAAACUUGAAGAGGGGAUUAAACAAUAUUCACUGCAGUCAAUAGAAUAAACCAUUGUCAUGAAUAUAAAAAAAAUAUUAAAUUAUUAAUGUCAUAAUCUAGCUAGUUCAGUUAUACGUCUACAAAAUCUUUUUGUUUGAAUGGAUUCAUUAGCUAAAGCACCCAUGGGCAGACCCCAUUUUCUACUGAGCUAGCUACACUGGUUCAUGAACCUUGUCCACAAGAGUUCAAACAGAUUUUCCCUGGCCAGUCCCAUGGCCGACAACAAGUUGGCAUUGGCUUUGGUGACUAUCGCUCAUUUCGCUACUUUCUCUCCUAUUAAAUUCUUCCCACUCAUUUAAACAAAAAGAUUAAUCUCGAUUAAUUUGUCUCCUUCUUUUGGUCUUUGGUAACGGUAAUAAUUAUAUUUAACAUAUAAGCAUCGCAUUUUCUCUAUUUUUAAUUUGUGGGACAGCAAUGCAAUGAAGUCACCACUCACCAUCCCCCAUGGAUUAGGAAAGCUCGUAUCUCUCUAAUUAACAUAUAAAAUACGAGAUUAAUUGAAAAAGGGAUUGAGUUGAUCGCUUUGAUAGAUCCACCUUUAAAUAUUUAAACAUAAGUUGAUCUUAAACUAAUAUAAAAUUAUGCAAUUUUUAGUUAAACGAAUUAGUCAAAUAAUCAUCGUAGAUUAUCGUGGAAUAAUUUAUUUUGUUCCCGAAAAUGAUUGCAUUAAGACCCGAUAGCUACCACAUGCCUGACCCAUGGCGGCUCCGGGAUGUGUAGAAAGUCACUGUAUGAUUGCAAUCUAGAAAGCCAGCAUUGACUGGCCUCUCGUUAGUGCUUGGAUAAUAAAAAAAAAAGAGAUCAAAUUAUACAUGUCUGAGUUUAGAUACGGUGGCGGCACCAUUUUCUUCUUCACCCUGUGACCACACUCUUUAAAGAGUAAAUUAACUCUUCACUAUAUCUGCAUUUAUUUGUUAAUACAUGUAUUUAUACAAGAGUUGAAUUGAGAUACAAGAGUUGGCUGAGCAUUUUUAAAGGGAUUGGCUAACCUAUCGGCUAAAAGAAUUGGAGAAGAUAUGUACAUAUCAAUUUGAGAAGAUAAAGGAGAGAAUUAAGGAGAUAUGGGAAAGGAUAAAGAAGGAGAGGAUUAAGGAUAAAGGAAAUUGCAAUUGUUAUCUUCAUUACUCCCCCUCAAGUUGGAGUGUGAAGAGUUGAAGUACCCAACUUGCUAAGUAACUCAUGAAAAUGGUCACGCCCAAGUGCCUUAGUAAAAAUAUCUGCUAGCUGAAAUUUUGAAGUGAUAAGUUGAGGAAUCAAAGUUUGAGAUUGAAUAUGCUGGCGAACAAAAUGACAAUCAAUUUCUAUGUGUUUCGUACGUUCAUGAAAAACUGGAUUUGCAGCUAUGUGGAUGGCAGCUUGAUUAUCACAAAAAAGUGGAACUAGAUUAGAACAAGGCACUUGUAGGUCUCGUAGUAAUUGUAUUAACCAAAUGAUUUCAUUAGAAAUAGUGGCCAUUGCUCUAUACUCUGCUUCUGUAGAUGAGCGUGAAACAACUGUCUGUUUCUUGGAUCGCCAUGAGAUUGGUGAUGACCCAAGAAAUAUAAUGUAGUCAGUAGUAGAUCGACGGGUGGUAGGGCAUCUUGCCCAAUCUGCGUCACAAUAUGCCCGAAGAGACAAUGAAUUAUUGGAAGGUAACAAGAGUCCUUGACCUGGAGCAUUCUUGAGAUAUCGAAGCACACAAAAAACUGCAUUUAAGUGUAGUUGCCGAGGAUUAUGCAUAAAUUGACUAAAUAAGUGCACAACAUAACUAAUAUCUGGCCUUGUGAUAGUGAGAUAAAGCAGGCGUCCAACAAGUCGUCGAUAAAGCUCAGGGUUAGAACAAAGAGGCUCAGUGUUAGAUGCAAGCUUGUGUUGUUGGUCUAUUGGAAAGGAUGAAGGCUUGCUGCCCAUUAAAUCACAUUUGGACAAAAUAUCCAAUACGUACUUGUGCUGGCUUAAAACUAUGCCAGAAGGAGAACGAGCAACUUCUAUGCCAAGAAAAUAUUUCAAUUUUCCAAGAUCUUUGAUGCGAAACUUCUUGUCCAAAUAACGCUUUAGUUUGACAAUACGGUCUAAAUCGUUCCCUGUGAUUAUCACAUCAUCUACAUAUAUCAGAACAACAAUGAAAGCUGGCCCUCGAUGAAACAAGAAAAGCGAAUGAUCUGCACCAGAUUGACAAAAACCAAUGGCUAACAAGGCUGUAGUGAAUUUUUAAUACCAAUUUCUCGAGGCUUGUUUAAGUCCAUAUAAAGAUUUCUGCAACUUACAAACACGUUGCUCCCUCUUUCGAGUGAAUCCUUGUGGAACCUUCAUAUAAACUUCCUCGUUUAGGUCUCCAUGGAGAAAUGCAUUGUUGACAUCCAGUUGAUGUAAUUCCCAAUUCUGUACUGAAGCUACCGCAAGCAAGCAUCUGACAGUCACUAGUUUAGCCACCGGUGCGAAAGUUUCAUGAAAGUCUACCCCUUCUAUCUGAGUAUAACCUUUAGCAACUAGACGAGCCUUAUAUCGUUCCACACUUCCAUCUGGGUUGUACUUAAUUUUGUACACCCAUUUAGAAUUGAUUGCUGGCUUCCCAAGUGGUAACUUACUCAAAACCCAUGUUUUAUUUUCUUCUAAGGUUGAGAUUUCUUUUGCCAUAGCAUCCCGCCAAUGAGUAUGUUUUAUUGCCUAAUGAAAAUUAGUUGGCUCAUCGGUUGAAAGGAUGGCCGCCAAAAAAGCAUUGUGAUCACGUAAAAAUUAAGAAUAAAAGAUGAAUUGUGAAAGAGGAUAUACCGUAGAGUUGGCCUUGGGUGUGGGAGUGUACGUUGAAAAGGACGAUGUGAGAGAGGGAGGCAAGGCAAAAUCAUAAUCUGUUAGUUUUCUAGGAAUCUGACGAGCUCUUUUUCUUGUCAUUACUGAAGUAUCUACUAUAACAGUAGUACCAGGAGCAGUACUUGGUUGCUCUAUUUGCUGCCUAAGUGACCCAUUUGCAUCAAUGGUACACUCUUCAUUGCUUAAUGAAUGAUGUUGUCCAAUCUCGUCUAACGUGCCUGUAUCAUUUAAUUCGCCAGAUCUAGCUGUAUCAUAUGACUCGCAUGGCUCAGUUUCAAGAUGGCCCCCACUGUCUCCGUGUGACUCGAUCAUACUCGAUCCUUGCGCUAAUUUAUCAAAUGGGUUCAGAUAAGAACACAUGAAUGAUUCAUCAGAAGUGUGAACUUGGAUAUUAGGAUUUGUUGAAGUCCAAGAUGCCAGUAUGUGUGUUGUUGGAGACCCAUCAAUUUCAUUGCUUCCUUUGGUCAAUGCACUAGGGAAAAUAUUCUUAAAAAAUUGCACAUCACGUGAAGUAUAGAUUUUCUUAUCUUCAAUAUCGAAUAUUCGAUACCCUUUUUGUCCAUGGGGAUAACCCAAGAAAAUACCUGGUUUGGAGCAAGGUGCAAAUUUAUCACGUGACUUGUUGGUGAUGAGUCCAUAACACAAGCAUCCAAAAGUUCUGAGAUGUUGGUAGGUUGGUGAUCUUCCAAACAAGAUUUCGUAUGGGGUUUUGUUCUUCAAAACUGAUAGUGGCAUUCUGUUGAUUAAGUAUGCAGCUGUUAGGACACAUUCACCCCAAAAUUUUAUGGGUAGAUAUGCUUGGAAGCGUAGCACUCGUGCAACUUUUAACAAGUGUCUGUGCUUUCUUUCUACUCUCCCAUUUUGUUGUGGUGUGUUUGUGCAGCUUGUUUUGGCGCUCAAUUCCAUUCUCAUUGUAGUAGGUAAGUAAAUCACUGUGUUUGAAUUCCAUCCUAUUGUCGGAACGCACAAUUUUCACCUGUGUAUUAAAUUGAGUUCGUAGCCAUUGGUAAAAAUGCAGUAAGUAAUCACGUGUUUUUGACUUAUGCUUCAUCAAAUAUACCCAGGUGGCCCGACUGUAAUCAUUAACAAUGGUUAGAAAGUAAACAGCCCCAAAUAAUGAUGGAGUUUUAUAAUCUCCCCAAAUGUCACAAUGAAUAAGUUCAAAAAUUCGACUAGAUUCAUAAGUACUGGCAAAAAAUGGCAAACGAUGUUGUCGUGCUCUGCAACAAGCAUCACAAAAUUUAUUUUCCUUAACAUUAAUAGAUAAAUCCCCAAUAAAAGAUAAGCGAUUCAUUGGCAAAUGCCCCAGUCUCCGAUGCCACAUAUCUGCAUGCCUCAUAUUACUUGCCAUUAGUGCCUUGCCCUCUCUUAUUGGUUCCAAGUAGUAGAGUCCAUCACGCACCCUACCCACUCCAAUCGGCCUCCUCGAAGAUAAGUCCUGUAUAACACAAAAUGUAGGUUAGAACGUGAGCACACAAUUCAAAUCCUUGGUUAAUUUGCUAACAGAUAACAAAUUAAAAUUAAAAUUUGGAAUGCCAAAGACUUGAUCCAAGACCAAUUGUUUAUUCAAUUUAACAUGGCCUAAAGCUUGUACGGGGACCAUUUCUUCAUUGGGUAUUUGGAUUGGAGGAAAAUUAGGCUUGUGCUUGACAUUUGUGAAAAGGCCCAAAUCCUUUGUAAUGUGGUCUGUGGCUCCAUUGUCUAUGACCCAUGGAUCAUUGUGUCUCUCUUUCUUACCCGCAUUCUAAUUGGUGGUAUUGGCUACCUAUGAUGUCGAUUGAAGGUUUGGUGUAUUGCCCACACCCAACGCAGCAAGCACUUGAAGAAUUUGCUAUUGUUGUGCCUUUAUUCCCGAAGUUGAGAUCGAGGAAUUGGUGUCUCCAAUUGUGGCUGCAAUAGCCGAACUGUUGUUACUCUGAUCCACGCGUCUUCCUCCUCUGCUUCGACUCCGAUCUGAUGGCCGACGAUUCCAAUUUUCUAGGUAACCAAUAAUUUCAAAACAUUGCUCUUUUGUAUGCUUGGGCUUUCCGCAAUGAGCGCAAUGAGUGCAAUGCACUAGUUAUGUUUUCUCCUCAAAACGCCGAUUCUGGCUUCUCUUGUUAUUUGCAACAGCAUGCCUUGACGUCAUUGCUUGAUCUCUGGUCACCUGUCCUGCCAAAAAUGCAGCACCUUCAACAGUUGGGACUCGAUUUACAGCUACUUGUCUUUGUUUUUCCUCCUGCGCUGCUAUGGAGUAUGUUUUCCUCAAACUAGGCAAUGGGUCAACGCUAAGUAUCUGAGACCUCACGGUGCUGAAGGUGUCAUCUAAUCCCAUGAGAAAAUCAAAUACUUUCUCUUGUUCUUGCAUAUCUUCCAUUUUCUUCGCUGCUCCACACGUGCAACCACAUGUACAUACAGGAAUAGGAUUAAAAGCUUGUAAUUCACCCCAAACAGUUUUAAGCUUACCGUAAUAAGAUGAAAUUGAUGACUUUUCUUGUUGCAAUAGUGCAAUCGCACGUCUCAACUCGUACAUACGUGGAGCCAUUCUUUGUGUGAAUCUUUCCUGCAGAUCUGCCCAAACCUCAUGAGUUGUGUCCGCAUGAGCCGCGCUGCUUUGGAUCUCCUUUGCAAGUGCAUUUAUUAACCAGAAAAGCACAAUAGCAUUGCAUUGGACCCAUGAGUCGUAAUCUUGGGAAUUGACAUCCGGUUUGACUAUGGUCCCAUCUACGAAUCCUGCUUUGUUCUUUGAUCGUAAUGCAUUUAGAAAGCUGCGCCUCCAGGUAAAAUAAUUUUCACCAUUCUCGUUAAGAGGGUGUGUGACAAAAGUUAAGCCAAGAUGAUCUGAUGAAUGCAAAAAGUAUGGGGACUUAGUAUCAAUUGCAAUGUUGUGUGAUGCGUUUGCAGAUGAUACCAAGGUCACAUUAACUUGAUUUGCUUCAUUCUCUGCCAUGACUUAAAAAAAUUUUAUGUACCCUGCUUUGAUACCAUAAAGAGUAAAUUAACUCUUCACUAUAUCUAUAUUUAUUUAUUAAUACAUGUAUUUAUACAAGAGUUGAAUUGAGAUACCAGAGUUGGCUGAGCAUUUCUAAAGGGAUUGGCUAACCUAUCGGCUAAAAGAAUUUGAGAAGAUAUGUACAUAUCAAUUUGAGAAGAUAAAGGAGAGAAUUAAGGAGAUAUGGGAAAGGAUAAAGAAGGAAAGGAUUAAGGAUAAAGGAAAUUGCAAUUGUUAUCUUCAUUACUCUUGUCACGUGACACAAGUACCUAAUAGCUUUUCUUUCUUUUGUUUUUUAUUUUGUUUUUUAUUGUUUUCUUUCGUCUCUCUUCUUCUAACUCUAUUUCUCGUUGGUCAGCGGCAGCCGGCAACGGUAGAGGCCCAGAUUUGCCCCAAGCUCGAUCUCUUUCCCCCGCCGGAUAGGUGACACGGGUUAAUUUGGCUCCAAUCGUCAUCAAGGCAUCAAUAAGGCUAGAUCAGACCCUUUACUGUCAUCUGCUGGCCCCUAGCUGAUGGGACAGAGAGAACAAAGGAGAAAAUGAAAAAAAAAUCACAUAAUUUAAUUUUUAUUCACAUUAAUUAUCAUGCCAACACCUGAUGAAAAUAUUGACAAAAGGACGUUUCUGUUUAACAGUAAAAAUAUGGGAAUGAGUAAUUUACUUUUUAAAUUAUAAAGAUAAAUAUGAUAUGCAAUUCAAAUUUUGAGAACCUAUCUGAAUUACAUUAUUUUUGAGAAUUAUUUUCUUUUCCAAUGUCAUCAAAAUAAUAAUCAAACAAAUCCACAUAUUUAAUAAGGGCAAAAAGUAUAAUAUUCUGGAUGCAUUAUCCUCUUUCCAGAUCCCUCAUUUUAUAAUCCGUCCGCUAACUUGUAAAAUAAUUCUUCCCAACUCUUUGGUACUGUUUGAAAAGAAUUCAAAACAAUAUAUAGUAAAUUAAGAAAAAAAAAUUGCUCCACAGUCAAAUGUACCAUAGGCUCUUAGUCCUUUUGAGCCACUAUGACAUCGGCCCUUAUGUCAUCGGUUUCAACUUUUCCUGUUUUUUUAAGCCUCCCCUCAACUGUACACCUACUGCUUAACCGUUAACACAGAACCGCGACUUCCUCGACACAACACUGACUGGAACUCCGCUGUCAGCCGCAACUUCAGCUAGCUAUUCACUCUCGCCGGUAAAACAUGGCAACUGCAAAAGUUGGGAGGAUCAAGUUGGGUUCUCAAGGCCUGGAAGUGUCAGCUCAAGGCCUGGGCUGCAUGGGGAUGUCAGCUUUCUAUGGUCCUCCAAAGCCUGAAGCAGACAUGAUCGCUCUCAUCCACCACGCUAUCAGCUCUGGGGUUACCCUUCUUGAUACCUCUGAUGUUUAUGGUCCCCACACCAAUGAAAUCCUCAUUGGCAAGGCCUUGAAAGAUGGUUUUAGAGACAAAGUUGAAUUGGCUACUAAGUUUGGUAUUGACUAUACUGAAGGCAAGAGGGAAAUCCGUGGUGACCCUGCUUACGUGAGGGCGGCCUGUGAAGGUAGCUUGAAGCGUCUUGGUGUGGAUUGUAUCGAUCUUUAUUAUCAGCAUCGGAUUGAUACCCGGCUUCCCAUUGAAGUCACGGUUUGUUUUUGUUUUGUUUUCCGUCCCCUGCUUUUUUCUUUGUCAUGAUCUAGUUAAAAUGAGAAUUCUUGAUCUUUUUAUUGAUUGUUGCCCUUUUCUAUUUUCCCAGAUGGGAGAACUCAAGAAGCUAGUUGAAGAAGGUAAAAUAAAGUACAUAGGUUUAUCUGAGGCUUCUGCUUCGACCAUUAGGAGGGCACAUGCUGUUCACCCAAUAACUGCUGUGCAGUUGGAGUGGUCUUUGUGGUCUAGAGAUGUUGAGGCCGACAUCAUUCCUACUUGCAGGUUACUUAUCCAUAAGACUAACAAUUUAUUUUUUUUUACAAAAAAAUUAGUGAUUCAGAAAUCUUAUUCUAGCGUGAUUCCUUUUAAUUUCUUAGAGAACUUGAAAUUGGGAUUGUUGCUUACAGUCCUCUGGGGAGAGGAUUCCUUUCAUCAGGGCCUAAAAUUGUGGAAACUUUGUCCAAUGAUGACUUCAGAAAGGUUUGUAGCUAUUUUUCACAAUUGUAUUAUUUUUCAUAAGAAAUACUAAUCAUCUGUUUCUUUUAGGCAUAUCAAAUGUUAUGGUAUGAUAGAUUUUCUUAAUCAUGAAAUGUGAUCAAUACUUGGAUAAGAAGGUUUAGUAGUUUACAGAAAUGACAAGAAUUUUUUUCUUUUUAUCUGACGGCUAAAUAUUUUUAAUGCUCAAGUUGUACUGAAACAUUUCCUCUUUGUUAGCCUAAUCCGUAUGAGGACCUCCCGAUUUAGUCUACAAGUGCUUCAAUGCUAGCAAUCUUUUUCUUUCUAAGUUGGUGGGACUUACAUGUGAAUUGGGUUUAUUUACAUGUUGGUGUGUAUAUUCUCCAACUGUGGACUUGGGUAAAGGUAGACUAGUUAAGAAUCGAAAUUUGAGUAUGUUCAUAACCUGUUCCCCUUCUCUUUCAAGAAAACUUAUUUUCAAAAUGCAAAAACAUGUUGGGUAGUAAUCUUCUUUAGCUUCUUCAUAAUAACAGAGGGCUAACUAUACCUUUGUGUCCUAGUUUGCCUCUAAUAGGCCCUUUCCCUUGAGUUAUGCAAGUGUGUUCUGUGAUCCAUUGAUUAAAUGUUUUGAAUCAACUUAUCUGCAUUAUUGACAGAAAAUGAUGGUCCGUGGCUGAUUAUCCUUAUCUUUUAUGACACAAUUAUUUAAAAUGAAUAUUCAAUUGUGACAGUCACUGCCAAGGUUCCAACCUGAAAAUCUGGAGCAUAACCAACGCCUGUAUGAGCGAGUGAAUGAGAUAGCAGCGAAGAAGGGGUGCACCCCAUCACAGCUUGCAUUGGCUUGGGUCCAUCACCAAGGGAAUGAUGUCUGUCCCAUUCCUGGAACCACCAAAAUUGAAAACUUCAAUCAGAACGUUGGAGCUUUGUCCGUAAAAUUAACAGCAGAAGAGAUGGCUGAGCUAGAAUCCAUUGCUUCAGUAGAUACCGUGAAGGGAGACAGAUACGGUGGCGUUCUCGUUACCUACCAUGACUCUGAGACUCCCCCCUUGUCUUCAUGGAAACCUGAAUGAGGCUUAGACUACCAUAUUGAUACAAUCUUCAUGAUGAGGUAACACUUUGCAUUGUGUUUUAAAAUCACGAGUCUCUCUACUUUGUAUUCCGAGAAUACAUAUUCUGUCAGAAGUACAACGGGUCUUGUAGUGAUACAUUGUAGCUAUCUAAAUGUGUCAUGUUCAGAUUGUCUGUUCCAAGGUAAUUAAGCAAAAGUUUGUCAGUAAAUAAGGUGUUAUAUCAGAAGUAUCCUUGGUCUUCUGAUGAUUGCUGGCAAACUUGAUUGUAUGUUCCUGACUUGAUCAUGUUAAGAAAAAGAAAGUGUUUCUGUCUUUCUGAAAUGUUUUGAUCUCAACUAUGCUUCCUUCUCUUUUAUAAUACGAGGAAUCUCUCCCCCCAACAAAUUAAUAUUUGGUUUCAUUGGACAAAAACUUAAAGAAAAUAUGAGCAUAGAAAAGGAUGAAACGAAGACGUCUAGGUAAUUGCUCACUGUGCAUUCCAAAAUGAUCAAAUAAUUAGUUGCUUCCUUUGUCACUAAACAUUAUUAUUUAUUUUAUUUAUUUAUGUAUGGUUUUACCUGCACCAAUAGCCCAUUUACUUUGUGGGUGACCCAUCCAUGGGACCAAUCUAGAUCCCGUCGUCCCCACACCAUAAGCAAUAGGUUUUCAAUUAAUUAAUCCUAAUUUUCCUUAGAUUUUAGACGACCUUUGAUGAGUAACUUAAGGCUUUGGAACCACCGAUGGAUUUUGCUGGGAAAUGGACAAACAAAAACGAAAUUAACAAGAUAAAAGGAAUCCCAUUACCACCUUAAUUAUUUGUUUUCUGCUUAAUAUGGAGUCUCGCAAACCACUAAUUUACUUUUAAGUAAAUAUGUGUUUAGUUAAUUGUUUUCAAACUUAUUGGGAAAAUCUAAUAUAUUCGAUCUAAAGCUACUAAAGUACAUAACUAAAAGCAAAGCUCCAAAAAGUUAAAACAUUGUAAUUAUUAUUAUUGUUAUUUUUAUUAUUUUUAUGUGUGAAAUGAUGAAGCAACAUGCAUGAUGAGCAGCUCUCUCUUUUUUAGUUUUUGUUAUACUUCCCACUAAUUGAAGGUGGAUGAUCACUAGAUUCAUGUACUUGCUCACCGCAAUGAAGAAUAUAAUAAUUUGGCCAAAUAUUACUACCAACUAGCUAUUAAACCACCAAGCGGAUCAACCCCUUCUUAAGGGAAUGUAUGCAUUGGAUUAAUUCAUUACUCUUUGCAUAAGCUUUUAGGCUUAUGAAUUGCAUUAAUAUACUCACCCUGAUUAUCGUUUUGCAUAAUCCAGAGUAUAGGAUUAAGAUAAAGUAAAAAAAAAAUGAGCCAACUAUGUAUUCUUUACUGUAGCAGCUGCGCUUUAAGAUAAAACUUGAAGAGGGGAUUAAACAAUAUUUACUGUAGUCAAUAGAAUAAACCAUUGUGAUGAAUAUCAAAAAAUUAUUAAAUUAUUAAUGUCAUAAUCUAUCUAGUUCAGUUAUACGUGUGCAAAAUCUUUUUGUUUGAAUGGAUUCAUUAGCUAAAGCACCCAUGGGCAGACCCCAUUUUCUACUGAGCUAGCUACACUGGUUCAUGAACCCUGUCCACAAGAGUUCAAAAAGAGUUUCCCUGGCCGACAAGAAGUUGGCAUUUGCUUUGGUGACUAUCACUCAUUUCGCUUCUUUCUCACCUAUUAAAUUCUUCCCACUCAUUUAAACAAAUAGAUUAAUCUCGAUUAAUUUGUCUCCUUCUUUUGGUCUUUGGUAACGGUAAUAAUUAGAUUUAAUCUACAAGCAUCGCAUUUUCUCUAUUUUUAAUUUGUGGGACAGCAAUGCAAUGAAGUCACCACUCACCAUCCCCCAUGGAUUAGGAAAGCUGGUAUCUCUAUAAUUAAUAUAUAAAAUACGAGAUUAAUUGAAAAAGGGAUUGAGUUGAUCGCUUUGAUGGAUCCACCUUUAAAUAUUUAAACAUAAGUUGAUCUUAAACUAAUAAAAAAUUAUGCAAUUUUUAGUUGAACGACUUAGUCAAAUAAUCAUCGUAGAUUAUCGUGGAAUACUUUAUUUUGUACCCGAAAGUGAUUGCAUUAAGACCCGAUAGCUACCACCCAUGGCGACUCCGGGAUGUGUAGAAAGUCACUGUACGAUUGCAAUCUAGAACGCCAGCAUUGACUGGCCUCUCAUUAGUGCUUGGAUAAUAAAAAAAAAAGAGGUCAAGUUGUACAUGUCUGAGUUUAGACACGGUGGCGGCACCAUUUUCUUCUUCACCCUGGGACCACACUCUUGUCACGUGACACAAGUACCUAAUUGCUCAGCCAAAGCAGUUUUUUUUUUUAUAUAUAUAUUUUUUUAAUUUCAUAAGUCAUAUUACAUUGAAAAAGGGUGCAAUAAAAAAUAUUUGUUUUAAAUUAUAAUUUUAUAAAAUAUAUCUAUAAAAAAGUAGAGUUUUUCUUUCUUUUGUUUUUUAUUUUUUUUACUGUUUUCUUUCGUCUCUCUUUUUCUCCCUCUCUUUCUCGUUGGUCAGCGGCAGCCGGCAACGGUAGAGGCCCAGAUUUGCCCCAAGCUCGAUCUCUUUCCCCCGUCGAAUAGGUAACAUGGGUUAAUUUGGCUCCAAUCGUCAUCAAGGCAUCAAUAAGGCUAGAGCAGACCCUUUACUGUCAUCGGCUGGCCCCUAGCUGAAGGGAGAGAGAGAACAAAGGAGAGAAUGAAAAAGAAAAAUCACAUAAUUUAAUUUUUAUCCACAUUAAUUAUCAUGCCAACACUUGAUGAAAAUAUUGACAAAAGGACGUUCCUGUUUAACAGUAAAAAUAUGGGAAUUAGUAGUAAUUUACUUUUUAAAUUAUAAAGAUAAAAAUUAUAUGCAAUUCAAAUUUUGAGAACCUAUCUGAAUUACAUUAUUUUGGGAGGUUUUGUGGAUGAUACCGCCUUAUCUAAUUUACAAUAUUGUUUAGAGUCAUUUGUACCUGCGCUUUAAGGAAGUUCAUUUGUUCAAUCUAUUUGGGUAUAGUUAUUGGUAGUAUGAUUCUAGAUUAGUCCAAAAAAUCACUUUGUUCUUGUAUAGUUUUUUUCUCUAAUUAUUAUUUAGGUCCAUAGUUCUCCCACAUCUCUCAGUGAUUAAUCUCAUUUUUAGGUAGUGGUGGUAUUAGUAUUUUGGGUAGGUACAAUUGGGACAAAUCAUGUAUAUAAAUCUAAAGAAAUGGUCAGAUAUGUGUGGUAGCUUCUAUAAACCAUCAAAGUUUUUGGAAGGAAGCCAUGAAGGGCAUCUCAAUUAGUGCAACUGCAACAUAAUUUCCAUUAUCAAGGUUAAGGCUCUAGGCAAAUAAAGGAAUUAUCAAGGUGUUUUAGGGGAAUGGAGAUGAAUCUACUAUCCUCGUUAUCAGUGACAGAAUUAGGAUUCGUGUUUGAGGGGUAAAGACAAUGUCCAUAAAAUAGUCACACCCAUAGUUUAGUGUUUAACAAAAACAUAAAAUAAUUUAGAUGGAAAAAAUUCAUAUAAAAAUUAUAUAAAUAACUCCAAUUACAUGUUAAGUACAAAAUAAAGAUAUUUUUUUAUAACUAUUGCAUGUUAAAAUUGGAUAUUUUUAAUUGAGCUUGACAAUAUUUUCAUAGAGUUGAAGGCAUUAUUGAAUUAAUAUCAAAAUCUUGAAUUAUUCGAAUUUUUAAUAAAAUCAUUUAAAAUUUUAUUACGAGUCUCGUUCUUAACAAGUUUUAUAAUUAAUAUUAUACACUUUGAUGUUAUAUUGAAAACUAGAAGAGUCUACAUCAAUCUGUCAAUAAGAAAUUAAACUUUUGAUAUUCUCGUAUUCUUUAACAUUUGACACAAUUCAAAAAGUAUAAAUACAUUUUUCAAAGCUUGAUUAUGAAGAAUGUCAAACUUGAAUAGAUCCAAUUGAUAGCUCAAACACAUAUUAUCAUAUUCAGUAAAGUUACCAAGAUAAUAUUUAAUUACAAAGUUACAAAUACUUUCAACAUCAAACAAUUUGAAAUCAUUAUAAGAGUCCAAGGAUAUGUCAAGAGUGAGCAACUCCACCAUAUUCUUAUAAAUCUAAAAUCUAAUUCUUACAAGAGUGAGUUAAUAGCAGAAAAAAACAACUCAACUCAAUAAUGGUGUUCAAUUGUGCUAUGAUCCUUUUAAAGACGGCUUUUACCUUUAUAUCUAACUCCAUGUCAAAAAUCUUAAUUUCGUAUUCUCACAAAACUUCUUUACUGACACAAACAAAGGUUUCAUUCAUUUCUCCCAAUUGUUAGAGACGUUUUUUAAUAACAAUACUAAACGAAUUACAUUUAAUAUGUCUUGAGAUUUGAGUUGUAAAGCUUUUGAAAAGUCAUUUGUUAUCUCCAAUAACUUUAUCAUAAGAUGCAAGAUAAAUAUAAAUUUAAAUGACAUAAUGAUAUGUUAUAAAAAUUAUAAAAUAAAAGAAAAAAAUAUAAAAUUAUUAUAGAAAUAAAAUUCUAAAAUUCUAAAAAACUAAAAAUAGGUUAUAAAAGUAUUAUAAAGAUAAAAUUUUAAAAUUUUAAAAAAUAAGAGUUGCUAUAAAACCACCCUCCCCUACACCUCUAUUUACGGAGGUGGUGAGGGUCGGAAGUAAAAGCAGUGGGCGUUGUGGGAAGACUUGGCGUGCACCUUGGGACAAGCGUUGUAAGUGUGGGUACAAGACUGCAUCUACCAAGCGCAGAAAGUAGUGCUUGAUCCAUUUGGCAUUUAGUCUCUUUUAUGCAAUUUGAACAAUUUAAUGUUGAUAUUAGACAUAUAAGUUCCACAAUUAAUUAGUUAAUGUUUUAAUUUUCUAAUGACAUGUCAUAAGUUUUAUAUCUAUUUGAUCUUUCUAUUUACUAUUCAUCGAUCUUUUCCGAUGGAAUUGGGUGUCUGAUUAAAUUUGUACAAGGACUUUGCUUCCAUUGGCAUCUAAUAUCUCAAGACUCAGCUGGGUGCUCAUCCUUCUACCAGAAUUAUCAUUAAAAUCAAAAUCACAAAAACAAUUUGAUGCAACCUCACCACUCAUUUAUAGGCAGCUUAUUGGGUACUUAAGUAUCUUAAAAAGGCACCGGGAUAAAGUAUUUUACUAGCUUCUGAUUCUGAUGUUCAACUAAAGGUUUUUAUUGAUAAUGAUUGGGCUAGAUGCUUAGAUUCCAGACGUUCUGUUACUGGUUUUGGAGUUUUUCUUAGUAAAUCUCUCUUUAAUUGGAAAUUUAAAAAGCAAUCAGUUGUUGCUUGUAGUUCAAUAGAGGCUGAAUAUCGUGCUAUGGCUGCUGCUUGUUGUGAAGCUAUAUGGCUUUUGUCUCUACUCAAAUAUUUUGGUUUUUCUCAUAUUGCUUUAGUUCAUUAUUUUUUGAUAACCAGUUUGCUAUUCACAUUUGUAAAAAUCCUAUAUUUCAUGAGAGGACUAAGCAUACUGAACUGCACUGUCAUUUUAUUCGAGAUAAAGUUCUUGAAGGAGUUAUUUGUCCUUAGCAUGUUUUUACUAAGGAUCAAUUGGCAGACAUUUUUACUAAGGAUCAAUUGGUAGACAUUUUUACUAAGGCGCUACCACUUGCACAAUUCACCUAUCUGUUAGGCAAGAUGAGCAUAGAUAAUAUCCAUGCUUCUCUUGAGGGGGGGUGUUAGAUAUUAUAUUUUGACAUGUGCAAUGGUAUAUUUGUAAAUAUUCUAACUGUUUAAGGUUAUUAUUAUAUUUUUGAUUUUACAUGAAGACUUGACUAUAAAAAAUCUGUUGUACUGACAAUGUGAAGUUGAAAAAAAAGACAAUACAAUUAGAGCUUUAUCCAUCUCUUAACUUUUUCUAGAUUUUUUUUCAGAUUCUUCGUCUCUUUCUCAAUAAUCGACAAAACUUUCUCUAGAUUUUUUUCAGAUUCUUCGUCUCUUCCUCAAUAAUCAACAGGAUUGAGGGGACGAAUUUGGUUUGGUGGAGCAACUAAGCUUGGCGGUGGUGGGUAGGUGCUUAAUCCAAGUGUUGCCAAAUGUUUUGCCUGAUUACCCGAGGCUUUGAAGUUAACGAACAAAUAGGUGGAAAAAUCCUUUAGGUAGAAAUAUGUAAAGAAAAGCAGAGUCUUAUCCACCAUUCUAAACAAACAAAACGAUUGCUCCAAAACACAACACAACAAUUUAAUUAAGUUUGUAAAAUUAAAGUGACAAUCCAAAGCCACUGGAGUUUAAUACUUCAUCUGGCAUCUAGAUGGUUUCUCUUGUAACCAAAAAAAAAAUGCAGAAUCGGCUCAUCCAAUAAGAAGGAGAGAGUUUGAAAGUUGAAGGUGAUUUUUUUUUUAAUAUUUUUGACUUUUUAAUUUUUUGGAUAUUUUAAUAAUUUUAUAAAAUUCAUUAGUGAUGUUUAAAAUUUUGAAACUAAGUGUAUUUUUAAUACUAUUAGAUUUAAAGUGAAUUAUGAUAAAAAGUUAGGUAAUGAGAUAGGAUUGUCCUUUGAAAAAAACACCUAGGGAACAUUUUGUCUCCAUUUAAAAUCAUUACUAAAAGAAAUUUUGAAAGGGACAAAAAGAGCAUCACAAUUUACAUCACUCAAGUGGAACACUUUACCUUAAUGUGAUGAAAUUUAUGAAGUGAUGUGGCAAUCUUUGGAAGGACUUUCAACCAAUUUUACUCGAAAGUUGGUGGUAGACCUUGAAUCUGAAUCGGAUUAGAAAGCUUUCAAGAUAUAUAGAGGGGGCUGUCUCUCGACCAAUCUUCAGAUAAACAGUGAUGGAAAGCACGCCCCCUCCCGCUUUAGCUCCAGUCAUCUCUAGCAGACCGAAACUACUUGCAUGGAUGGCCUUUUUUUUUUUUUUUUUCCACAUUUCUUGGAUGAGGAAAAUUAUGACUUAAUUCAUAAAUUUCACAACGUGAAUUCCAAAUUAAUUAGUUCCAUUUGCAGAAAAGAAUGCCUUGCUGCUGAUUGUCUUUUUGUUUGACGAAACAAUCGUUGGAAUUAAUUUUCAUUUGUCACAGUAACUACCCAAAGUUCCAACCUGAAAAUCUCAAGCAUAACAAACGCCUCUAUGAGCAAGUUAGUAAGAGAGCAGCAAGAAAGGAAUGCCAACCCAUCGCAGCUUGUAUUGGCCUGUGUCCAUCACCAAGGGAAUGAUGUCCGUCCCAUUCCUAGAACCACAGAAAUUGAAAACUUUAAUCGGAAUAUUGCAGCUUUGGCCUUACAAUUUAUACGUGAAGAGAUAGAGCUAGAAUCCAUUGCUUCAACAGAUGCCGCGAAGGGAGGCAGAUAUAUUAGAACCACUGCUACCUACCGCAAAUCUGAAACUCCUCCCUUGUCUUUACGGAAACCUGCGUGAGGAUUGACGGCCUUCCAUUCACCACAUUGAUACAAUUUUCACAAUGAGCAGCAUCAUGUGCUUUAAAGUUUUGAUGAGUACUCUGCUUUAUAUUCAGAAAAUAAAGUGUUAUAUUUACAAGUACCCUAGGUCUUGUAGUGAUAGAUCGCAAACUUGAUUGUAGGUAUCUACGUUUGUCAUGUUGACGUCGUCCGCUCCAAGGUCAGUAAGCAAAAGUUUAUGAGACACGUGGAAAUGGGGGUUGCAUACAUGAUUUUACUUUUAAACAAAAUAAUUAUAGUCAAAAGAUCUAUCAAGUCUUUAUAUUUUUUAAUUUUAUUUAAUUUAAUCUUUAUACUCAAAAUCGAAAUAAUUUAAUCUAUUGAUUUUGAGAAUUGUGUUAAUUUAAUUUGUUUUCCUAACAGCUUCCAAUUUUACCGUUAAAAGAUGACAUCAGCACCAACGUGUCACAUAUUGAUAACGUGGCAUUGAGAUGAUGACAUGGCAUGAUGAUGUGUUAGAUUAAAAAAAUUUUUUACCAUUUCAUAAGGACUCAAUUGAACAAAAAUAUAUAAUAUAAGGAUUAAAUUAAAUAAAAUUGAGAUAUUGAAGGACUAAAUUAAAAGAAUAUUUAAAUAGAUUAUUGAUAUGCUUGUUAAUAAGCUAAAUAUUUAAGUGUAAAAGAUUAUGGUGUUAAUAUAUAUAUAUAUAUAUAUAUAUAUUUACUUGAUUAUUUGAUUCUAAAAUAUGUAAAUUAAUUUAUUUUUUUUACAAAAAUUAAGUUUGAAUUCUCCUUCUAAAAAAANUUAAGUUAAAAUAAAUAAUAUAAAAUGACUAAAUAUGUUGAUUUAGUUACAACUUUCAUAAUUUACAAAUACACAUUUUUUUUAAAAUUAUUCAACUUUUACCCAAUUUACCUUUUAUUUAAAUUUACUCAAAUUAGCAAAAUAUGUUAAUUUAGUUACUACUUUCACAAUUUACAAAUACACAUUAUUCAACUCUUACCCAAUUUACCUUUUAUUUAAAUUUUCUCAAAAUUUUUUAUAAAACGAUUUUAUUUAAAUUCAAAUACCAUAAUCAAAUUCUGUUAAAUUUAAAUUUAUAUUAUUAAUUUAGAUCUACAAAAAAUUUAUUAAUAAAAUAAAAUUAUACAAAUAUUUACAGUUAUAUUAACUUUAUCAAUUAUAAAUGCAGUCUUUAAUAUAUGAAAUUUUAACUUAAAAAAUAUAACUUGAAAUAUUUACAAAAUAAAAACAUAAUAAAUGAAUAAAUAAAUAAUUGAACAGAUAGAACUUAGAUUCUAUGGUUGUAAUAAGAGGUUUGUCAUGUCCAAAUUAAGCAAAUCAGAAUGAGAAAUUAUUUUUAUCAUCAUUGUUAAUUUCAUAUCUGCGUUCUUCAUUUUUUUAAAAGAAAAAACUAAAUCAACAUAUUUUGCUAAUUUGACUUUAGCUCAAGCUAAAAACUAAGUUAAAUAAAAUUCAAAUUUUUAUGCUAUUACAAAUAGAAGAAAAAAGAAUUUAUUUAGUCAUUUUAUAUUAUUUUAUUUUAACGUAGUACAAGUUAUUUAUCUAAAUUUGACUUCAAGUAUAAAAUUUUUUCAAAUUUUUUUUAUGGAAGGAGAAUUCAAACUUAAUUUUUGUAAAAAAGAUAAAUAAAUUUAUAUAUUUGAGAAUCAAAUAAUCAAGUAAGAAAAUAUUUAUAUAUUUUUUUAAUACCAUAAAUCUUUUACACUUAAAUAUUUGGCUUAUUAAUAAAUAUAUCAAUAAUCUACUUAAAGAUUUAUAUUUAUUAAUUUAGUCCAUCCACAUCUCAAUUUUAUUCAAUUUAGUCCUUAUGCUAUAUAUUUUUAUUCAAUUUAAUCUCUAUGACUUAGUAAAAUUUUUUAAAAAAUUUUUUUAAUCUACCACGUGAUAUUAACAUGUCAACAUAUCAGUACCACGUCAACACUACCACGUCAUAAUAUAAUACCACGUGACAUGCGACGUCAUUAUUUUAACGUCAUGUCAUCAAAAUGUGACACAUUAACGCUGACAUCAGUAAUUAUGUCAGCACUGAUAUCAUCAUUUAACGGUAAAAUUAGAUGUUAUUAGAAAAAUAGACUAAAUUGAUGUAAUUUUCAAAAUUAAAAUCCUAAAUUAUUUCGAUUUUGAGUAUAAAGAUUAAAUUGAAUAAAAUUAAAAAAUUACAAACGUUGAAUAAAUCUUUUAACCAAAUAAUUAUAUCAAAAUGGAUAUUAUAUUUUAAUUAUUUGUUUAUUUUUAAUCAUUUUUUUAAAUGCAUUAUUGAUUAUUAUUUUCUUUUUUAAAACGCAAAAUUAUAUCCACCCAUCACCCACUUGAUGCCAUUGUAAGUCUUUAGCCUUGUCAGCCCAAGAUUUUGAUGGCAUAGAAACUGGUGUGAGAAAGGAACUAUACAAUUACAAAAAAAUCUCUGCACAAAAGGCGACACACCACAAGGACCACUUGAAACGAAUGUAUGAACAAAACUAUUGAUCAUUAUUGAUCUGCCUUUUAUCAUUUCCUUUUCCAUUGUCAUAAAAACAAUAACCAAACAAAUCCAUAUUCUUAAUCAGGGAGCAAAGUAUACUGUUGUGGAUUCCUUGCCCUUUCCGCUGACUACUUCAACAGAUAACACUGAACCGCGACUUCCUCGACACAACACUGACCGCUGUCUGCAGCAACUUUAGCUAGCUAUUCACUCUCACCAGUAAAACAUGGCAACUGCAAGAGUUGGGAGGAUCAAGUUGGGAUCUCAAGGCCUGGAAGUGUCAGCUCAAGGCCUGGGCUGCAUGGGGAUGUCAGCUUUCUAUGGCCCUCCGAAGCCUGAAGCUGACAUGAUCGCUCUCAUCCACCAUGCAAUCAACUCUGGGGUUACCCUUCUUGACACCUCUGAUGUUUAUGGUCCCCACACCAAUGAAAUUCUCCUUGGCAAGGCCUUGAAAGAUGGUUUCAGAGACAAAGUUGAAUUGGCAACUAAGUUUGGUUUAGACUACAGUGAAGGCAAGAACGAAAUCCGUGGUGACCCUGCUUACGUGAGGGCGGCCUGUGAAGGUAGCUUGAAGCGUCUUGGUGUGGUUUGUGUUGAUCUUUACUAUCAGCAUCGGAUUGAUACCAGAGUUCCCAUUGAAUUCACGGUUUGUUUUUGUUUGGGCUUUCGGUCCCCUGCUUUUUACUUUGUCAUGAUCUAGUUAAGAAAUGAGAAUUCUUCAUCGUUUUAUUGAUUGUUGCUUUUCUUUUUUUACUCAGAUGGGUGAACUUAAGAAGCUAGUUGAAGAAGGUAAAGUAAAGUACAUAGGUCUAUCUGAGGCUUCUGCUUCGACAAUUAGGAGGGCGCAUGCUGUUCACCCAAUAACUGCUGUGCAGUUGGAGUGGUCUUUGUGGUCUAGAGAUGUUGAGGCCCACAUCAUUCCUACUUGCAGGUUACUUAUCCACAAGACUGACAAAUUUUUUAAAAAUUAGUGAUUUAGAAACCUUAUUCUAAUGUGAUUCCUUUUAAUUUCUUAGAGAACUUGGAAUUGGGAUUGUUGCUUACAGUCCUCUGGGGAGAGGAUUCUUUUCAUCAGGGCCUAAAAUUGUGGAAACUUUGUCCAAUGAUGACUUCAGAAAGGUUUGUAGCUAUUCUUCACAAUUGGAUAUACGUUCAUAACAAGUACUAAUUAUUUGUUACUUUUUGGCAUAUCAAAAUUUUAUGGUAUGAUAGAUUUUUUUGAUCAUGAUAUGUGAAUCAGAGAAAAUCCACAUCAAUACUUGCACAAGAAAGUUUAGAAGUCUACAGACGUAACAAGAAUUCUUUUAUAUCUGACAGCCAGAUUUUUUUAAGUGUGUAAGUUGUACUGCAACAUUCCCCUUUUUGUUAGCCAACUUCGUAAAGACCUCCCGAUUUUAGUCUUGGGUGCCUCAAGGCCAGCAAUCUUGUUCUUUCUAAUUUAGUGGGACUUUCAUGUGAAUUGGGUUUAUUUACAUGUCGGUGUGUACUGUCUAAGUGUAUAUUCUCCAACUGUGCACUUGGGUAAGGGUAGACUAGUUAAGAAUCCAAAUUUGAGUAUGUUCAUAACCUGUUCCCCUUCUCUUUCAAAACUUAUUUUCAAAAUGCAAAAACAUGUUGGGUAGUAACCUUCUUUAGCUUCUUCAUAAUAACAGAGGGCUAACUAUACCUUUAUGUCGUAGUUUGCCUCUAAAAUGCCCCUUUCCCUUGGGUUAUGCAAGUGUGUCAUGUGAUCCAUUGAUUAAAUGUUUUGAAUCGACGAACUUGUAUUACUUACAGAAAUUGAUGGUCUGUGGCUGAUUGUCUUUAUCUUUUAUGACACAAUCAUUUGAAAUGAAUAUUGAAUUGUGACAGUCACAACCAAGGUUCCAACCUGAAAAUCUGGCGCAUAACAAACGCCUGUAUGAGCGAGUUAACGAGAUAGCAGUGAAGAAGGGGUGCACCCCAUCACAGCUUGCGUUGGCUUGGGUCCAUCACCAAGGGAAUGAUGUCUGUCCCAUUCCCGGAACCACCAAAAUCGAAAACUUCAAUCAGAACAUUGGAGCUUUGUCCGUGAAAUUAACAGCUGAAGAGAUGGCUGAGCUAGAAUCCAUUGCUUCAGUAGAUACCGUGAAGGGAGAUAGAUAUGGUGAAGGUAUCUCUACUUACCAUGACUCUGAGACUCCUCCCUUGUCUUCAUGGAAACCUGAAUGAGGCUUAUGCUACCAUAUUGAUUGACGAGUGUUUCUACUUUGUAUUUCGAGAAUAAAUGUUCCGUUAGAAUUAUAAUCAUAGAUUGCAAACUUGGUAUGUGGUAGCUAUCUAAGUUUGUCAUGGUUGAGAUUGUCUAUUCUAAGGUAAUUAAGCAAAUGUUUCAAUACAUUUUAUAUUAUAUGUAUAUAUAUAUAUAUAUAAUAUUAUUGUGCUUGCUUUUUAGCCAUUCUCCUAUAAGUUUGUCAAUCAUUUUAAUGCAAUAUAUUAUUGUUUGGUUAUUACAUUUGUUGUACAUCUUAUUUUUUGAAAGAAAAAAGAAAAAAUAUAUUUAAAAUAAUAAAAAAUUAAGAUUAUAGAUGUUUUUUAUAUUAUAUUUUAAUUAUUGGUUUAUUUUUAAUCUUUAUAUUGGUCUUGCCUUAUAUCUUUUUUUGGGAAAAGUAUAUAUCAUAUAAUUUUGCUUUGUCAUAAAAACAGUCACCAAACAAAUCCAUACUUUUUUAUGGAGGCAGCAAAGUAUAAUAUAUUGGAGAUUCAUUACCCCUUUUCCCCAAAUUCCCCCCAUUUUAUAAUCCGCAUAGUUUCUAAAAGAACACAAAUCAAUAUAAAUAAAAAAAAAUGAAAAACAUUGUUGCAGAAUCCACAUGGAACUAUCGGUUCCAACGUUUUCCUGCUCUUAAUGUCACCACCUACUAUUAAGUACUACUCUAACAGUUGACACUGAACCGCAACUUCAUCAACAACACACCUCCUGCCACUGUGCAACCGCUUCAGCUAGCUUAGCUAUUCAUUCUCACCAGUGACACAUGGCGACUGCAAAAGUUGGGAGGAUCAAGUUGGGUUCUCAAGGCCUGGAAGUGUCUGCUCAGGGCCUUGGCUGCAUGAGCAUGUCAGCUUUCUAUGGUCCUCCGAAGCCUGAAUCUGACAUGAUUGCUCUCAUCCACCAUGCUUUCAACUCUGGGGUAACCUUUCUUGAUACGUCUGAUAAUUACGGUCCCCAUACCAAUGAAAUCCUCCUUGGCAAGGCACUGAAACAUGGUUUCAGAGACAGAGUUGAAUUGGCUACCAAGUUUGGUAUAAACUAUUCUCAAGGCGCAAGGCAAAUCCGUGGUGACCCCGCGUACGUGAGGGCGGCCUGUGAAGGUAGCUUGAAGCGUCUUGGUGUGGAUUGUGUUGAUCUUUAUUAUCAGCAUCGGAUCGACACCAGGGUUCCCAUUGAAGUCACGGUUUGUUUUUGUUUUGAAUUUUGUCCCCUGCUUUUUUUCUUUGUUAUGACCUAGUUAAGGAAUGAGGCAUCUUGGUCUUUUUAUGAAUAGUUCCUUGUGUUUUUUUAAUUUUUUGCCCAGAUGGGAGAACUUAAGAAACUAGUUGAAGAAGGUAAAGUAAAAUACAUAGGGUUAUCUGAGGCUUCUGCUUCGACUAUUAGGCGGGCACAUGCUGUUCAUCCAAUAACUGCUGUGCAGUUAGAAUGGUCCUUGUGGGCUAGAGAUGUUGAGGAAGAAAUAGUUCCUACAUGCAGGUUAGCCAUGGAUAAGAGUAAUAAUUUAAAUCAUUUGAAAUUGUAAAUUCUAGUGUCUCAUUCCUUUUCAUCUCGCAGGGACCUUGGGAUUGGGAUUGUUGCCUACAGUCCUCUGGGGAGAGGAUUCUUAUCAUCAGGGCCUAAACUGGUAGAAACUCUUUCUGAUGAUGACUACAGGAAGGUUUGUAGCUAUUUUUCACAAUUGGAUAAUUGUUCAUAAGAAAUAAUUACCUGUUACUUUUAGCCAUAUCAAAUUUUAUGGUAUGAUAGAUUUUAUCAAGUAUGGUAUGUGAAUCAAAGAACAUCCACAUCGAUAGACAUGACCCGAGUUUUUAUAUCUGUCAGCUAAAUUUUCUUGAAGCUUAAUUUGUUCUGCAACAUUUCCAUCUUGGUUGGUCUACUUUGUGAAGAAGACCUCCCAAUUUUAGUCUCCAAGUGCCUUAAUGCUAGCGAGCUUUUUCUUUCUAAUUUAGUGAUAUCUCAUGUGAAUUGGGUCUAUUAAGUAAGUGGUACAUUCUUCAUCAGUCCAACUGUGUACUUCGGUCAGGGUGUACCAGUUAAGGACUGAAAUUUUAGUAUGUCCAUAACUUUUUCCUCUUUUCUGUCAUAUUCCAUUACCAUUAUGUAGUGAAGUCUUAUGUAUAUAGGGUAACUAUCUAGUGAAGUAUUAUGCAGGCGUGUUAAGCUUCAAAUCCCAUUAAGAAUAUAUUUUUCAAAAUGCCUACGUUCUUCUUAAUAACAGAGGGCUAACCAUACGUUUAUAUUCUAGUUUGCCUCUAUUUGGCUCCUCCCCUUGAGUUAUGCAGGCCUCUCUUGUGAUCCAUUAGUUAAUAACCAUUACUAAGGUGAAGUUUUUACUAUCGCAACAGUUAACAAUCUUCUAAUGCAUCUUUAAAAUAAGACAAACUUAAGGCAAGUUUGUAGAGGAUAUCUGUUUACUUCGACUGAUAUCUGUGUCAUAGAAGAGACAUCUGCUACAUGUGAUUGGAAGUUUUCUAUCAGAUUUCCCAGUUGAUUUAUAAAUUAGGUAAUGAGCUUCAGUCCUCCUAAUUUCAACAACUGAAGUUAAUGACUGGACUCUGGAGUACAGGAAUGCACUUAGGGAACUGCAUGGUGAUUGUUUGUUUUAAAAAUUAUACCCCUGUGAAAUCUGUUUCAAAUAGGCAUUUAGCCUAUAUUUAAAUUAUAUUUGAGGAUAAAAGAUCCUCUCUGUAGUUGGGCAAUUAAGCAAAAUGAGGUCCAUUUUGAGAACUAAUGAUGGCAUGAGUUGGCAAACACUAGCUGAAAUUUCUUGAAUCAUGAAUCUUUAUUAUUUACAGAAAAUACUGGUUUGGUGCUGAUUACUCUUUAUGUUUUAUGACACAAUCAAUUGAAUGAAUUUUCAAUUGUCACAGUUUCUACCAAGGUUCCAACCUGAAAAUCUGGAGCAUAACAAACGCCUCUAUGAGCGAGUUAAUGAGAUAGCAGCAAAGAAGGGGUGCACCCCAUCACAGCUUGCGUUGGCCUGGGUCCAUCAUCAAGGGAAUGAUGUCUGUCCCAUUCCUGGAACCACUAAAAUGAAAAACUUCAAUCAGAACAUAGGAGCUUUGUCCUUGAAAUUAACACCUGAAGAGAUGUUUGAGCUAGAAUCCAUUGCUUCAGCAGAUGCCGUGAAGGGAGACAGAUAUGGUGGAACUGCCGCUACCUACCCUGAAUCUCAAACUCCUCCCUUGUCUUCAUGGAAACCUGAAUGAGGGCAUGCUAUCAUAUCGAUGCAAUCUUCAUAAUGAGUUACGGACUUAAUGUAACACCUUGGGGAUGUGUUUUAAAAUCACAAU